Molecule: ribosomal RNA, 253 nt
Filed under: uncultured bacterium
Lineage: Bacteria
Description: partial 16S ribosomal RNA
Rfam family: Bacterial small subunit ribosomal RNA
Source: RNAcentral
UACGUAGGGGGCAAGCGUUGUCCGGAAUCAUUGGGCGUAAAGCGCGCGUAGGCGGCCCUGUAAGUCCGUUGUGAAAGUCAAAGGCUCAACCUUUGAAAGCCGAUGGAUACUGCAGGGCUAGAGUCCGGAAGAGGCGAGUGGAAUUCCUGGUGUAGCGGUGGAAUGCGCAGAUAUCAGGAAGAACACCGGUGGCGAAGGCGGCUCGCUGGGCCAGUUCUGACACUCAUCCGCGAAAGCGUGGGGAGCAAACAGG